UUAGGUAACAGUGUGGAUGAUGAGGAGUAGGAAUACAUGUUCUGUGCAUCAUCUCCAUACGGUGGUGAAAGCCCAUUCAUAGGAACUCAUCACUACCCUCAGGAGUCACAGGGAUCUAGAGCCCUUUCUGUAACAACAAACACAGCUCAUGGGACCUGGUUUCCACCCAGUGGCCAUGGACUGCUGGCCACCAGGACCUGCCAAGCUCCCAUACUGCUGCAACUCUCCACUCCAAAUCUACACCCUGGGCUCUGCACCUCUGGGUUUGGUUUGCUGUAUCACAGAAUCAUCUAAGUUGGAAGAGACCUCCAAGAUCACCGAGUCCAACCUCUGACCUAACACUAACACGUCCUCCACUAAACCAUAUCACUAAGCUCAACAUCUAAACGUCUCUUAAAGACCUCCAGGGGUGGUGACUCAACCACUUCCCUGGGCAGCCCAUUCCGAUGCCUAACAACCCUUUCAGUAAAGAAGUUCUUCCUAAUAUCCAACCUAAACCUCCUCUGAAAACGCUCUUCUUCUACUGCUCACAGAAUACAAAAUGGCCCACCUUGCACCCUGCCUGUGCGCCCUGCCUGCGCGCACUUCUGUAGGUCUCAAGGAAAGCAGAUUUUCUCCUCUGAAGGUUUUGGAAGUCCUUAGGUGGUCUCUCAUUUACAGAACUAUUCUCUUCCAGCAGUCUACAUGUAGUAUCUCAAGACCAGUGCCCUGCACAUCAAGGCUAGUCAGCCAACAGCUGGUCUCCGGGCAGUUGUCCCCACCAUCACCAGGAUUUCCACCUCAUCCGGUACCCUGGAGCAUUAGGGCAUGAGUGUGCCGUGUGGUGGGGGACAGUGCAGCCCUUGGCCCCUGCAUACCCUGCUUCCAACUGCUUUUCCGCGUGGACAAAGGUGUAUGGGCAGGGAAGGUGAGAGGCCACACGGAAGUAAGUCUCUCGUUUGCUUCGAGGCUGGGAUGGAAGCUGAGUUACUCCAAGCAAUGGGCAGCAGUGAACAGAUCCCAACGCCAGUGGGUUUCUGCUGUCUCAGUGCAGCUCCUUGCACCACUCCUCAGUUGGGUGGAGCUGGGUUUUGUGCUCAGCUCUUGCAUGAGCAGCAGAUCCAUUAA
This 1107-nucleotide long non-coding RNA is filed under the name Anser brachyrhynchus (Pink-footed goose). RNAcentral's name for it is "lncRNA (ENSABRG00000003913.1)". Lineage: Eukaryota; Metazoa; Chordata; Aves; Anseriformes; Anatidae. The record is from RNAcentral.